Agrilus planipennis (emerald ash borer) is the source of this 582-nucleotide long non-coding RNA. RefSeq lists it as uncharacterized. The record is from RefSeq and is a predicted model, not a curated record. The transcript has 4 exons. Lineage: Eukaryota; Metazoa; Arthropoda; Insecta; Coleoptera; Buprestidae.
GUUUUUUUACAGUUUUCCUGCAACCAAAAAGAUAACGUGUCUGAUGAUUUAAUGAAGGAGCAACGUUAAGAUGGAUAAUGGCUUUUAGUGGUUAAAUAUUUCCCAAGAUAGGCACUUCAUAUACCGUAAACUUAAUUGGGUGUUGGGCAUUAAUCGUAGCAGACUUGGGAAUGCUGAAGUUCCUGAAAGAAUUCCUUUCCUUAAGCCUGCUCUGCUAGUUAUUAUUAUUCUUUUGGAGAGUUUAUCCGGUAAUUGUGGGAGAGAGCAUUGGAGUCCAUCUCGGCCCUAAUGAAAAAGUCUACUGUAAUACAGAUAUUGCUGGACUUCUUUGUUCGCUAUUGAGUUUUUACCUUCGACGAUUUUGCAGUGAAUAAGAUUGAUCGGUAAUCAAGAAAGAAAGAGAGAGAGAACACUGGAGUUCAUUGUGACCCUAUUAAAGAAGUCUACUGUGAUGCAAUUCUUCCUGGACUUUUACACGUUCUCUGUUGAUCUUCCACAUGGACGAUUUUGCAGUAAAUUAAGGUGAGAAUACUUAUAUAUAUCUUCAGAUAACUUCAAUUUCUUAGACAUUUAUAACUUGCU